UACGGAGGGGGCAAGCGUUGUUCGGAGUCACUGGGCGUAAAGGGCGCGUAGGCGGUGGAGCGAGUCAGGCGUGAAAGCCCCGGGCUUAACCUGGGAAUUGCGCUUGAUACUGCUUUGCUUGAGACCGGGAGAGGAUGGCGGAAUCCCCAGUGUAGAGGUGAAAUUCGUAGAUAUUGGGAAGAACACCGGUGGCGAAGGCGGCCAUCUGGACCGGAUCUGACGCUGAGGCGCGAAAGCGUGGGGGACAAACAGG
RNAcentral lists this ribosomal RNA (253 nucleotides) under uncultured bacterium. Its description in RNAcentral is "partial 16S ribosomal RNA". It matches the Rfam family "Bacterial small subunit ribosomal RNA", at positions 524 to 776 of the family's 1533-position model. The record is from RNAcentral.